This 747-nucleotide ribosomal RNA is filed under the name Vibrio parahaemolyticus. Its description in RNAcentral is "bacterial SSU rRNA". It matches the Rfam family "Bacterial small subunit ribosomal RNA", at positions 9 to 747 of the family's 1533-position model. The record is from RNAcentral. Lineage: Bacteria; Pseudomonadati; Pseudomonadota; Gammaproteobacteria; Vibrionales; Vibrionaceae.
GAGUUUGAUCAUGGCUCAGAUUGAACGCUGGCGGCAGGCCUAACACAUGCAAGUCGAGCGGUAGCACAGAGAGCUUGCUCUCGGGUGACGAGCGGCGGACGGGUGAGUAAUGUCUGGGAAACUGCCUGAUGGAGGGGGAUAACUACUGGAAACGGUAGCUAAUACCGCAUAACGUCGCAAGACCAAAGUGGGGGACCUUCGGGCCUCAUGCCAUCAGAUGUGCCCAGAUGGGAUUAGCUAGUAGGUGGGGUAACGGCUCACCUAGGCGACGAUCCCUAGCUGGUCUGAGAGGAUGACCAGCCACACUGGAACUGAGACACGGUCCAGACUCCUACGGGAGGCAGCAGUGGGGAAUAUUGCACAAUGGGCGCAAGCCUGAUGCAGCCAUGCCGCGUGUAUGAAGAAGGCCUUCGGGUUGUAAAGUACUUUCAGCGGGGAGGAAGGCGAUAAGGUUAAUAACCUUGUCGAUUGACGUUACCCGCAGAAGAAGCACCGGCUAACUCCGUGCCAGCAGCCGCGGUAAUACGGAGGGUGCAAGCGUUAAUCGGAAUUACUGGGCGUAAAGCGCACGCAGGCGGUCUGUCAAGUCGGAUGUGAAAUCCCCGGGCUCAACCUGGGAACUGCAUUCGAAACUGGCAGGCUAGAGUCUUGUAGAGGGGGGUAGAAUUCCAGGUGUAGCGGUGAAAUGCGUAGAGAUCUGGAGGAAUACCGGUGGCGAAGGCGGCCCCCUGGACAAAGACUGACGCU